This is a small nucleolar RNA of Pygocentrus nattereri (red-bellied piranha), 132 nucleotides long. Ensembl annotates it as Small nucleolar RNA SNORA3/SNORA45 family. Lineage: Eukaryota; Metazoa; Chordata; Actinopteri; Characiformes; Serrasalmidae. The record is from Ensembl.
AGCGAGACUAGAGUCACAUCCUGAUACUCCUUGUUGUCUUGGUGUGCUAGAGUCCUCGCAGAGCAAACUUCUUUGCUUAUUCAUUGGCUGCUGCUUUCCAUUGCUCAGCCAAUCACCAGCUCUGAAACAGAU